GCGGGUAUGACGGAAUGGUAGACGUGCAUGUUUGAGGGACAUGUAAGAUUUUUCUUGUAUGAGUUCGAAUCUCAUUAUCCGCACCA
This 86-nucleotide transfer RNA is filed under the name Candidatus Phytoplasma australiense. Its description in RNAcentral is "tRNA-Leu (GAG) (tRNA-Leu-GAG-1-1)". It matches the Rfam family "tRNA". From Rfam's summary of the family: Transfer RNA (tRNA) molecules are approximately 80 nucleotides in length. Lineage: Bacteria; Bacillati; Mycoplasmatota; Mollicutes; Acholeplasmatales; Acholeplasmataceae. RNAcentral also lists the same sequence under 1 other name. The record is from RNAcentral.